Molecule: ribosomal RNA, 502 nt
Filed under: uncultured bacterium
Lineage: Bacteria
Description: partial 16S ribosomal RNA
Rfam family: Bacterial small subunit ribosomal RNA
Source: RNAcentral
AUUGAACGCUGGCGGCAUGCCUUACACAUGCAAGUCGAACGGCAGCACGGGUGCUUGCACCUGGUGGCGAGUGGCGAACGGGUGAGUAAUGCAUCGGAACGUACCCGGAAGUGGGGGAUAACGUAGCGAAAGUUACGCUAAUACCGCAUAUUCUGUGAGCAGGAAAGCGGGGGAUCUUCGGACCUCGUGCUUUCGGAGCGGCCGAUGUCGGAUUAGCUAGUUGGUGAGGUAAAGGCUCACCAAGGCGACGAGCCGUAGCGGGUCUGAGAGGAUGAUCCGCCACACUGGGACUGAGACACGGCCCAGACUCCUACGGGAGGCAGCAGUGGGGAAUUUUGGACAAUGGGGGCAACCCUGAUCCAGCCAUGCCGCGUGAGUGAAGAAGGCCUUCGGGUUGUAAAGCUCUUUUGUCAGGGAAGAAAUGGUCUGGGUUAAUACCCUGGGCAGAUGACGGUACCUGAAGAAUAAGCACCGGCUAACUACGUGCCAGCAGCCGCGGUAA